Long non-coding RNA from Siniperca chuatsi (mandarin fish), 1931 nucleotides. RefSeq lists it as uncharacterized. The transcript is spliced from 3 exons. The record is from RefSeq and is a predicted model, not a curated record. Lineage: Eukaryota; Metazoa; Chordata; Actinopteri; Centrarchiformes; Sinipercidae.
AGUCCUGCUCUGCACUGCUGGCCUGCCGCUGCCCCGCCUCGGCCUCGGCUGCCUGCAGACGACUCUUCAGACGGGUGUUCUCCUCCACAGUCAAACCUGCUUUCUGGGAAGGACAACAGAACGUUCCGUGCUCCUCCUCCAGGGUUUUCUUGCUGUGCUCCAUGUCCUUCAGCAUCACCUGCCAAGAGAGGCAGCAAAUGAAGCCCAGGAGGUUUUAACAGAGGGACUCUUCUAAAGCAGCAGACAGCUGCUGCUGUCUCCCUCUCAGUGUGGCCUGCAGACAGCAGACUGACAGCAGAACUAAACUCUUUCUCUCUGAUCUGAAGCAGCGCCACGAGGACCUGUGUAAGAUUUCUGCAACAAAGCUUAGCACCAAUGGGUACUACACAAAGUCUGCCACCUAACUAAGAAGCAAAUAAGGCAGUUAGCACCAAGCUAACUGUAAGGAGAACAACAAAUGGAGUGACCGGCUUCCUCUGAUCGGAAACUGCAUAGCAAGGACUUUUCCCCGAACCACAAUUCUUUCUAGCUUGCCCCAUCUACAACAGACGGACCGCUGGCUAACAAGGAGGACUUCAAAGCAACCUUCUUUCCCUCCAUGGACUGGUAAUGUAACUGGGCAUUACAUAGUUUCACAUAGCUUAACAAUGUACUUGGCUAAGCACAGGAUUGUCUUAUUUUUGUGAAUGUAUAUGUAUUAAUUUGGUUCUUUGAGUGUUAUUGUUGUGAUGUGCUUCCCCCGUUAGGAUUUGGAAGCCACAUGCUAAGUUGAUGUUAGCUAAUGUUAUGCUUCACACAGACAGAGUCAUGCUAACUAACUUCUUUUAACUGGGCACUAUUAUCCUACACCAAUCACACACAUCCACUCUAAUCUGACCUUUAACAGAGCCACACUCUUUUCAAACAUGGUCUAGCCGCCAUUUUGAAUUAGAUUUCUUUUGUUUAAGGCCAUUUUGGAUCAAAGCAGCCAUUUUGGAUCACCCACACACCCUUUGUUUAGUGCAAUUAGAGUUAGACUUCAUAUUGUGUUUUUGCUUUGUUCAUCUUUUAAUAAAUGCUUGUGUGUAAUUAUGCUGGUUUCUUUAAUGUUGCACAAGAGUGAACUUUGCCAACCUCUUCUAUGUAGAACUCCAAAUCUUUUAAACUACUAGCUAUUAAUCAGGGCUCCAGACUAACGUUUUUCACCACCAUCCCAAAAAACAAUUUUAACUAUCCUGAAGUGAACGUAAUCUGAACUAAAAUGUUGUUCCUUUACUUUGUUAGUAUCAUCUAUAGUUGUUAGUUGCAUAAUAAAAACACCAUUAAAAUGUGAGGACAUAAAUAAUUAUAUUUAUUUUGUUCCAUUCAAAGAAAAAGGUUUGAAAGAAAAUAAACUGAAUUAAAAAAAUUAAAUAGGAUACAAUUUAGUAACACAGCAGCUGCGACCACAUGGCCCGUACAGACACAAAUCACACUGUGAACAUUACUGGCCAUGCUGGCAAUUAUUUGCAAACUAGGAAAGCUGCCAUGGCUUUUGCCCUGCAGGCCGACAUUGUUGUUUGUUUUGUCAGCUGACAGUUACAUGGUUGCUGCCGCUGGCUGACAGGUUACACUCCAUUUAAACCGUUUUCCCGGCCCUCACCGUUAAGCGGUGCACCGGUGCACUGAAAUGUCAUUUGUCAAAUGUCAUCAGUUUGUCAUUUACUAAGUGAUAUUAUAUAGAUUAUAUAUACAUACACACACACAUACAAAAAUCCCUCUCCGGGGAAAAGCUCUGUUCGUCCAAACACAUUUUCUACGGGACGCCGUUAGUCUCGAGAACCGUUAUUAAUGGUCAUUUUCAUUAUAGUUACUAAUUUAAUUAUUAAUCGGAGUUCAAAAGUGAUAGUUUAGUGUAUUUUAUGUGACUGAAUCAAUUAAUUAGCUAUCCUUUUCCCUUAUUUAAGGGUUGU